AUGAACUUUAGAGACCCUGUUCACACUGAUGGAGAGAUGAAGGCUGAAGGUUUGAAAGGACAGCACGAAGCCUGGCAAAACCACUUAGAUCCCUUACCUGCUGACUAUAACUUUGGGAAAGGGAAACUGCUCACCAAGGAAGUCAAAAGGAAAGAAAGAAGCAGACUGGGUCUGAGGCUCCCAGAGGUAUCAGAGGAGGACAUUGAAUCUUGCUCCAAAUGGGUCUGUUAAAUAACCACACCAGGAAUACGGAGUUAGCCCAGAGCUGAGUGGGCCAGAAACUGUGGAUAACACAAUACAAAUCUGACCCUAUUGCUGCCAAAGUGAAUCCAGAAGGCCUAGUAUACACCUGAUCAUGCACAAACAGGUAAACAGAGCAUG
This 381-nucleotide long non-coding RNA is filed under the name Fukomys damarensis (Damara mole-rat). RNAcentral describes it as "lncRNA (ENSFDAG00000024247.1)". The record is from RNAcentral. Lineage: Eukaryota; Metazoa; Chordata; Mammalia; Rodentia; Bathyergidae.